GUGUAAAUACGGACUAUCAUAGAGAGUUGUCUUAUUGGCACACAUACCAUAUCUUCUUAUAUCUAUAUUUGCUAAAAGGUUAUUAUUAACAUUAAAAAAAACCAAGUAAUCUGUCCUGAAGAAUGAAGCUGCUACAUACAGGGUUUUUAUUGUUGAAUACAUGCUAAUUUAAUGCACGUACAAGGUUAUAGUACAAAUGUAGUCGACCAACUGC
RNAcentral lists this long non-coding RNA (214 nucleotides) under Mytilus galloprovincialis (Mediterranean mussel). Lineage: Eukaryota; Metazoa; Mollusca; Bivalvia; Mytilida; Mytilidae. The record is from RNAcentral.